RNAcentral lists this ribosomal RNA (439 nucleotides) under uncultured bacterium. RNAcentral describes it as "bacterial SSU rRNA". It matches the Rfam family "Bacterial small subunit ribosomal RNA", at positions 28 to 450 of the family's 1533-position model. The record is from RNAcentral.
GAUGAACGCUGGCGGCGUGCUUAACACAUGCAAGUCGAACGGGAAACCUUUUAUUGAAGCUUCGGCAGAUUUAGAUUGUUUCUAGUGGCGGACGGGUGAGUAACGCGUGGGUAACCUGCCUUAUACAGGGGGAUAACAGUCAGAAAUGACUGCUAAUACCGCAUAAGCGCACAGAGCUGCAUGGCUCGGUGUGAAAAACUCCGGUGGUAUAAGAUGGACCCGCGUUGGAUUAGCUAGUUGGUGAGGUAACGGCCCACCAAGGCGACGAUCCAUAGCCGGCCUGAGAGGGUGAACGGCCACAUUGGGACUGAGACACGGCCCAGACUCCUACGGGAGGCAGCAGUGGGGAAUAUUGCACAAUGGGGGAAACCCUGAUGCAGCGACGCCGCGUGAAGGAAGAAGUAUCUCGGUAUGUAAACUUCUAUCAGCAGGGAAGAAA